ACGCCAACCACUCCGUGAUAUAUAUAUAUAUAUAUAUAUAUAUAUAUCUCCAUCCAUCCACUCCCCUAAUUUACUGAGUAUUUUUUUCUUUCUACUAGCCAAUACAAAACUAAUAUAAUAUUCACAUGCACAUUUAUGUCACAUAUAUAUAUAUAUGUGUGUGUGUGCAUGUAUGUAAUCAUUUUGACAUGUUUACAUAGGUCAUACAAGAUUCGCUGAGGCAAUUUUUUUCCAGCCAGGUGCUCUUUCUGUUGCCAACCUUCACCUGUUUCCAAGCAAGGUCAUAUUUUCCCCUUGUUUGGACAUUUUUUUUUUCACAGAAUAUUUCUAACAAAUGAUACUGUUAGUAUGGCAAUGCCAUUUGUUUACAAUUAGUAUACAAUAUCAAAACAAAGGGACACACACACACAUAUAUACAUACAUAAAUAUGUACACACACACAUACAUGCAUGCACAACGGGCUUCCUUUCAGUUUCCAUUAACCAAAUUCACUGGGUUAUUAUUAUACUAUAUGAUUUUGAUGUGUGUCCAAUUGUUCGAACAAGUGGACAACCUACUCAUUGAAUAGGCAUGGAGAAUGCCUGAGUAUCUCACAGACUUACAUACCUUUGUAAUUCUCAAUAAAAUUAGCAUAACAGUGUAACAAGGCUGAACUUUUGAGUUACCAUCCAAUGGACUUGUACACAGUUUCUGUUUACCCGAAUACCCUACAAAACUUGGGUUAACACAAGGGAAUGGUAAAGGUACUGCUGAAGUGCCACACUUUGGAAUUGAACCCAGGACUUCAUGGUUGCACUCAUCAUAUGAUUGUGUGUGUGUGUGUGAAUUUUUAGAUUCAUGCUAGUACAAUACAAUUUACCAUUUAGAAUUCUAGUUAUGAUAUACAAAAUUGUAAAUGAUUGAUAUUAUUAAAUUUUACAAAUGUAUAUAAAGUUGUUGAUUUUGGUUUUACGGGGAGUUUUUGCUUCAAUCUUAGUAAUAAAACAUAUGGUAGUUGACCUGAUUCCUGUACAUCACCAAAAAAAUAAAAAUUAAUAUCACACUACAUGCUGCUAUAAUAAAUAUUUUCAGCUUCAAAAACAUCAAGGUACAGCUAUUUUGUCAAAUUAUUUGAUACUGGCAAGAUUUGAAAUCUAAAAGAAAAAUGUGGCAUUGAAUAAAAAUAGCUUUCUAAAGCCUGGAAAUCUGGCUCUUUUACUCUACUCUUGUACCAUUUCUUACCAUGAUUGUAAAAUGUAACUGAAACGUUCUUUUUAAGACUGAUCUUUGUUGUUGUUUUCGACUAAGCUAAUAUCUGAUUGUAAAUUGGAUAUCUUUUAAAUGUUCAAAUAAUUGAAGUUUGUUAUGGCCCCUCUCAUGUGAACUGUGUUCACUUAUUCAACUUCUCUUCUUCAAAACAAAAUGUUUUCUAAAGAAAAUAAAAAUGAAAUAAAUAUUAAUGACAAUAAUGUAAAA
RNAcentral lists this long non-coding RNA (1455 nucleotides) under Octopus vulgaris (common octopus). The record is from RNAcentral. Lineage: Eukaryota; Metazoa; Mollusca; Cephalopoda; Octopoda; Octopodidae.